GCAUUCGGAUGAAGACUCAGUAGGUGGAGCAGCAAGAGGUGCCCCUCCGUAGGGCAGAUUUGUGGCCACACAUCUAUCACCAGCUGGUCCAUAUAGAGGAGGAGAUAAGGUACAUAUCAAGACACCUUUCUCCGUGACUUCCGUUGUUGAUGGUCAUGAUUCUGUUUAGUUACAGGGCGUGGGGUGCUCUUCUUGGAAGACGGUUAGCGGAGCGUGGAAUUAUAGUCGCUUGCAUUGAUUAUAGAAAUUUGCCCCAAGGAACAAUAAGUGACAUGGCCAGUGAUGCUUUUGAGGCAUUUUCAUUUAUUUGUGAUACUAUUGCUAGCUAUGGAGGAGAUCCUAAUCA
Long non-coding RNA from Triticum dicoccoides, 346 nucleotides. RefSeq lists it as uncharacterized. The record is from RefSeq and is a predicted model, not a curated record. The transcript has 3 exons. NCBI's taxonomy places the organism in Eukaryota, Viridiplantae, Streptophyta, Magnoliopsida, Poales, Poaceae.